This 229-nucleotide long non-coding RNA is filed under the name Elaeis guineensis (African oil palm). Its description in RNAcentral is "long non-coding RNA (EGUI_LNC029483)". The record is from RNAcentral. Lineage: Eukaryota; Viridiplantae; Streptophyta; Magnoliopsida; Arecales; Arecaceae.
UCUCUCUUCUAAAACAUUGUCUGUAGAGAGGCAUGAGCAGAAUGACUAGCCAUAUCUGCGUAUAUACAAAUUUGUUUUACUUAAUCAAACUAGCAAGUAGGUAUGAAGUUUCAAGCAAGCCAUGAUUGACUUUUGAAGUAGAAAUCUAGGUUUAUUUGAAUACUGCAAAAUAUUAAGGAUAUCAAUGUGGUAUCGCUUUUCUUAUAAAGGAAUAACAGUAGUAGCAUGC